This 459-nucleotide ribosomal RNA is filed under the name Triticum aestivum (bread wheat). RNAcentral's name for it is "partial small subunit ribosomal RNA". Lineage: Eukaryota; Viridiplantae; Streptophyta; Magnoliopsida; Poales; Poaceae. The record is from RNAcentral.
AUGCAGCCGGACCCGUUAUUAGAAAAAAUAGACUGGUUUUUUUACCUCCAAUCAUUGACAACGUCGUAUCCGAAUACAUCAGUGAAAGCUCUCCCCAGGCCAGUUUCAGACCACAUACCUUGUCUUGUCUCGGUUCAAUCUUCCAUUCCACGCUCCAAGGUAUUUCGUUUUGAAAACUAUUGGCCUUUACACCCAGGUUUUAUGGACACUGUUAAAUCUUCUUGGCAACUCCCUGUACAUUCCUCUGAUGCUGCGUUAGCUCUUAGUGCUAAGUUAAAAAAAUUGAGAUGGGUCCUUAAAAGAUGGAGCAAAGGUCUCUCUAAGCUCUCAUUGCUUAUGAAUAAUUGUCAUUCUGUUCUUGCUCUUUUGGAUAAUUUAGAGGAGAGCCGACCUCUAGUCAUUCAGGAAUGGAACUUUCGGAAAAUUUUAAAAUCACAAAUAAUUCGUUUACAGUCCUAG